RNAcentral lists this small RNA (847 nucleotides) under Vigna angularis var. angularis. Its description in RNAcentral is "Non-protein coding transcript". The record is from RNAcentral. Lineage: Eukaryota; Viridiplantae; Streptophyta; Magnoliopsida; Fabales; Fabaceae.
UUCAAAGGUUAAAUAUGUGUUGGCCACUUAGAAUAUCACUGGUGCUUAUUUUAAUUCACAGCUUCUAAAAUUAAAUGUUCCUGUCUCUGUAUUUUUCAAAUACCAAAGUUCAGCUCCUAAAGUUGACACUUUUCCUCCUAUAGACUCUAGAGAGGGAUUACAAUCACAUCAUUAUGUUUUAAAAAUGAAUAAGUUUUUCAUGGAGAUAAAAUAAAGAAUUGUGUUUUUUAAGUAUAAAAACAUUGUCAAUCCAAGUUCAUACAUUUCAGAAAAGAAAAUCAGUUGCAGGACCUCCAAUUAUGCACCAAUUUCAGAAGAACCUGAAUUUCACAGAACCAACAAACAGAUGAAGAAAGAGAAACCAACGAAGAGACCCAGACAAACUCACAAAGAUAUGCAACACGAGGCUCCUCCUUUCCAAGCAAGUUGGCCACUCGAAGGAACCUUUGAAUUUCAGAAGCAAAAACUGUUGGCAACCUUUCACUGUCAAAGGGUUCUGGAGCAUAUUCCUGGUUGUUGCUGCCAUUGGUAAUGGCCAAAGUGACAUGGGGUGCCUCAGAUGUCGAUGCUGAUGCUGUUGAUGUCUCUCCUCGCUCGAAAUAGAUGCCUUCAAUGGGUUCUGCGGGCACAAUCUCUGACAUUGCUCUGAACUAAGAAACCAGCAAAAGGGUUAUGACACGCAUGCAUGGUAUAUAUGUUGAAUCUUCUCCAUAGUGUUUGCUUAGUGAGCUGUUUUUGUUUUGGCUGUAGCAUUCUUUCCCUCUAAGAAGAGAAGGAGGGAAAAAACAUAAACAAAGACACGUGUUCCUCACUCACUGCUUUCUUUACCAAACUGUGAAGACUUAUU